AUUGAACGCUGGCGGCAUGCCUUACACAUGCAAGUCGAACGGCAGCGGACCUUCGGGUGCCGGCGAGUGGCGAACGGGUGAGUAAUAUAUCGGAACGUACCUUUCAGUGGGGGAUAACGUAGCGAAAGUUACGCUAAUACCGCAUAUUCUGUGAGCAGGAAAGCAGGGGAUCGCAAGACCUUGCGCUGAUUGAGCGGCCGAUAUCAGAUUAGCUAGUUGGUGAGGUAAAGGCUCACCAAGGCGACGAUCUGUAGCGGGUCUGAGAGGAUGAUCCGCCACACUGGAACUGAGACACGGUCCAGACUCCUACGGGAGGCAGCAGUGGGGAAUUUUGGACAAUGGGCGCAAGCCUGAUCCAGCCAUGCCGCGUGAGUGAUGAAGGCCUUCGGUUGUAAGACUCUUUCGUCCACGACGAUGAUGACGGUAGUGGGAGAAGAAGACCCGGCUAACUUACGUGCCAGCAGCCGCGGU
RNAcentral lists this ribosomal RNA (471 nucleotides) under uncultured bacterium. RNAcentral's name for it is "bacterial SSU rRNA". It matches the Rfam family "Bacterial small subunit ribosomal RNA", at positions 30 to 521 of the family's 1533-position model. The record is from RNAcentral.